GAUGAACGCUGGCGGCGUGCCCAAUACAUGCAAGUCGAGCGAACAGAUGAGAAGCUUGCUUCUCUGAUGUUAGCGGCGGACGGGUGAGUAACACGUGGGUAACCUACCUAUAAGACUAGGAUAACUCCGGGAAACCGGGGCUAAUACCGGAUAAUAUUUUGAACCGCAUGGUUCAAUAGUGAAAGACGGUUUCGGCUGUCACUUAUAGAUGGACCCGCGCCGUAUUAGCUAGUUGGUAAGGUAACGGCUUACCAAGGCGACGAUACGUAGCCGACCUGAGAGGGUGAUCGGCCACACUGGAACUGAGACACGGUCCAGACUCCCACGGGAGGCAGCAGUAGGGAAUCUUCCGCAAUGGGCGAAAGCCUGACGGAGCAGCGCCGCGUGAGUGAUGAAGGUCUUCGGAUCGUAAAACUCUGUUGUUAGGGAAGAACAAAUUUGUUAGUAACUGAACAAGUCUUGACGGUACCUAACCAGAAAGCCACGGCUAACUACGUGCCAGCAGCCGCAGUAA
RNAcentral lists this ribosomal RNA (514 nucleotides) under uncultured bacterium. Its description in RNAcentral is "partial 16S ribosomal RNA". It matches the Rfam family "Bacterial small subunit ribosomal RNA", at positions 28 to 523 of the family's 1533-position model. The record is from RNAcentral.